Molecule: unclassified non-coding RNA, 278 nt
Filed under: Geotrichum candidum
Lineage: Eukaryota; Fungi; Ascomycota; Dipodascomycetes; Dipodascales; Dipodascaceae
Description: sequence contains 18S rRNA gene, ITS1, 5.8S rRNA gene, ITS2, 28S rRNA gene
Rfam family: 5.8S ribosomal RNA (bases 29-177)
About the family: 5.8S ribosomal RNA (5.8S rRNA) is a component of the large subunit of the eukaryotic ribosome. It is transcribed by RNA polymerase I as part of the 45S precursor that also contains 18S and 28S rRNA.
Source: RNAcentral
UUUUAUAGUCAUAACCAAAAAUAAUCAAAACUUUUAACAAUGGAUCUCUUGGUUCUCGUAUCGAUGAAGAACGCAGCGAAACGCGAUAUUUCUUGUGAAUUGCAGAAGUGAAUCAUCAGUUUUUGAACGCACAUUGCACUUUGGGGUAUCCCCCAAAGUAUACUUGUUUGAGCGUUGUUUCUCUCUUGGAAUUGCAUUUGCUUUUCUAAAAAAUCGAAUCAAAUUCGUUUGAAACUAAUAAACUCUCAACCUCAGAUCAAGUAGGAAACCAAUUCCUG